GAUGAACGCUGGCGGCGUGCCUAAUACAUGCAAGUCGAGCGAACGGACGAGAAGCUUGCUUCUCUGAUGUUAGCGGCGGACGGGUGAGUAACACGUGGAUAACCUACCUAUAAGACUGGGAUAACUUCGGGAAACCGGAGCUAAUACCGGAUAAUAUUUUGAACCGCAUGGUUCAAAAGUGAAAGACGGUCUUGCUGUCACUUAUAGAUGGAUCCGCGCUGCAUUAGCUAGUUGGUAAGGUAACGGCUUACCAAGGCAACGAUGCAUAGCCGACCUGAGAGGGUGAUCGGCCACACUGGAGCUGAGACACGGUCCAGACUCCUACGGGAGGCAGCAGUAGGGAAUCUUCCGCAAUGGGCGAGAGCCUGACGGAGCAACGCCGCGUGAGUGAUGAAGGUCUUCGGAUCGUAAAACUCUGUUAUUAGGGAAGAACAUAUGUGUAAGUAACUGUGCACAUCUUGACGGUACCUAAUCAGAAAGCCACGGCUAACUACGUG
RNAcentral lists this ribosomal RNA (497 nucleotides) under uncultured bacterium. Its description in RNAcentral is "partial 16S ribosomal RNA". It matches the Rfam family "Bacterial small subunit ribosomal RNA", at positions 28 to 507 of the family's 1533-position model. The record is from RNAcentral.